AGGGAAAAGCUCAAAUUUUCAAUCUGGCGUCUUUGGCGUCCGAGUUGUAAUCUAGAGAAGUGUUUUCCGCGUCGGACCGUGCAAAAGUCCCCUGGAACGGGGUGUCGUAGAGGGUGAGAAUCCCGUACUUGGCACGGACUCCCGUCGCUUUUGUGAUACACUCUCGAC
This 168-nucleotide ribosomal RNA is filed under the name Sebacinaceae sp. Its description in RNAcentral is "partial large subunit ribosomal RNA". It matches the Rfam family "Eukaryotic large subunit ribosomal RNA", at positions 99 to 261 of the family's 3401-position model. Lineage: Eukaryota; Fungi; Basidiomycota; Agaricomycetes; Sebacinales; Sebacinaceae. The record is from RNAcentral.